This 466-nucleotide ribosomal RNA is filed under the name Preussia aemulans. Its description in RNAcentral is "eukaryotic LSU rRNA". It matches the Rfam family "Eukaryotic large subunit ribosomal RNA", at positions 64 to 534 of the family's 3401-position model. Lineage: Eukaryota; Fungi; Ascomycota; Dothideomycetes; Pleosporales; Sporormiaceae. The record is from RNAcentral.
UCGGAUCAGGAUUGCCCUAGUAACGGCGAGUGAAGCGGCAACAGCUCAAAUUUGAAAUCUGGCUCUUUUAGGGUCCGAGUUGUAAUUUGCAGAGGGUGCUUUGGCAAAGGUUGUGGUCUAAGUUCCUUGGAACAGGACGUCACAGAGGGUGAGAAUCCCGUACGUGGCCGCCAACCCGCGCUAUGUAAAGCCCCUUCGACGAGUCGAGUUGUUUGGGAAUGCAGCUCUAAAUGGGAGGUAAAUUUCUUCUAAAGCUAAAUAUUGGCCAGAGACCGAUAGCGCACAAGUAGAGUGAUCGAAAGAUGAAAAGCACUUUGGAAAGAGAGUCAAAAAGCACGUGAAAUUGUUGAAAGGGAAGCGCUUGCAGCCAGACUUGCCUGUAGUUGCUCAUCCGGGCUCUUGCCCGGUGCACUCUUCUAUGGGCAGGCCAGCAUCAGUCUUGGCGGUCGGAUAAAUGCGUGCUAAA